GGCCGCCUGGCGAAAUGGCAUCGCGUCUGACUACGAUCGCUCGGCUAAAAUAUGUUAUCAGGAGAUUGCAGGUUCGACCCCUGCGGUGGUCA
Non-coding RNA from Mycena galericulata, 92 nucleotides. Lineage: Eukaryota; Fungi; Basidiomycota; Agaricomycetes; Agaricales; Mycenaceae. The record is from the annotation of a GenBank genome assembly.